RNAcentral lists this ribosomal RNA (500 nucleotides) under uncultured bacterium. Its description in RNAcentral is "partial 16S ribosomal RNA". It matches the Rfam family "Bacterial small subunit ribosomal RNA", at positions 29 to 523 of the family's 1533-position model. The record is from RNAcentral.
AACGAACGCUGGCGGCGUGCUUAACACAUGCAAGUCGCACGAGAAAGCCCUUCGGGGUGGGUGGAGUGGCGCACGGGUGAGUAAUGCAUAGGAACGUACCUAGAGGUGGGGAAUAACUAUCGGAAACGGUAGCUAAUACCGCAUAGUCUCGUAAGAGUAAAGGUGGCCUCUACUUGUAAGCUACCGCCACUAGAUUGGCCUAUGUCCCAUUAGCUAGUUGGUGAGGUAACGGCUCACCAAGGCGACGAUGGGUAGCUGGUCUGAGAGGACGAUCAGCCACACUGGAACUGAGACACGGUCCAGACUCCUACGGGAGGCAGCAGUGGGGAAUAUUGCACAAUGGGCGCAAGCCUGAUGCAGCAACGCCGCGUGAGUGAAGAAGGCCUUUGGGUUGUAAAGCUCUUUCGGCUGGGGAGAAGGCCUUUACGGUAAAUAAUCGUGAGGGUUGACGGUACCAGAAGAAGAAGCACCUGCUAACUACGUGCCAGCAGCCGCAGUAA